GACGAAGGUGGCGAGCGUUGUUCGGAAUCACUGGGCAUAAAGCGCACGUAGGCGGUGUCGUAAGUCGGAUGUGAAAUCCCUCGGCCUAACCGAGGAACUGCGUCCGAUACUGCGAUGCUUGAGGAUCAGAGGGGUGCAUGGAAUUUCCGGUGGAGCGGUGAAAUGCGUUGAUAUCGGAAGGAACUCCGGCGGCGAAAGCGAUGCACUGGCUGAUUUCUGACGCUGAGGUGCGAAAGCCAGGGGAGCAAAC
Molecule: ribosomal RNA, 250 nt
Filed under: uncultured bacterium
Lineage: Bacteria
Description: partial 16S ribosomal RNA
Rfam family: Bacterial small subunit ribosomal RNA
Source: RNAcentral